UACGAAGGGAGCUAGCGUUGUUCGGAAUCACUGGGCGUAAAGCGCACGUAGGCGGGUGUGUCAGUCAGGGGUGAAAUCCCGGAGCUCAACUUCGGAACUGCCUUUGAUACAGCACAUCUGGAGUCCGGAAGAGGUGGGUGGAAUUCCUAGUGUAGAGGUGAAAUUCGUAGAUAUUAGGAAGAACACCGGUGGCGAAGGCGGCCCACUGGUCCGGUACUGACGCUGAGGUGCGAAAGCGUGGGGAGCAAACAGG
Molecule: ribosomal RNA, 253 nt
Filed under: uncultured bacterium
Lineage: Bacteria
Description: partial 16S ribosomal RNA
Rfam family: Bacterial small subunit ribosomal RNA
Source: RNAcentral